Cyprinus carpio carpio is the source of this 468-nucleotide long non-coding RNA. The record is from Ensembl. Lineage: Eukaryota; Metazoa; Chordata; Actinopteri; Cypriniformes; Cyprinidae.
AUUUAAUACCACCCACAUCAUCGUGGCCAGACACCAGUCAUUUUCUUCUCGAAUAGAUGGCUUGUGUCACAGAACUCCCUCAGGCAGGACUUGACCUUGUGGCCUUUGGCUGCUAAUGAAGGGUCUCAGCCCAGCGCUGCGUCUGAAGUCUCAGCAUCACCUCUGCCUGUCUCAUCCUCAGACAAGCCCACCGGGUUUGUUCCAGCAGCACCAUGGACAGCGCCACACUGAAGCAACUUGGCUGGCAGGAUGUCAACCAAUCACAGCUGCAGCCUCUUGACGCUCAUCAACGACAAGGACAAAAGGAGCGCUGACAUCUGUUUGUCUGAUGAGUACUAGCAGAGGACACGUGCCCAUGCCAGAUUCUCUUGUCUCUUCACAGCAAGUGACUGGACCACCAGCAAUUUCACAUCUGCAUCGCUGUUCAGCUUGACUGAAUGUACUGUAUUGUAAAGAAAUAUAGCAACC